GAGCCGGAUGUGGGAAAUCUACAAGUCCGGUUCUGUGAGGGGCAUUGAAUCUCCUUACUUAAAUUAAGAGAAAAAGGAGACAUAUUAUGUCUACUCUAC
Non-coding RNA from Spirochaetaceae bacterium 4572_7, 99 nucleotides. Lineage: Bacteria; Pseudomonadati; Spirochaetota; Spirochaetia; Spirochaetales; Spirochaetaceae. The record is from Rfam.